GUACACGCUGUGACUAGCAUAUCAAUAAGCGGAGGAAAAGAAACUAACAAGGAUUCCCUAGUAACGGCGAGUGAAGCGGGAAGAGCUCAAAUUUGAAAUCUUCAAGGUUUUACCUUGACGAAUUGUAGUUUAAAGAAGUGUUUUCUGUUGAAGUUUUGGUAAAAGUUCUUUGGAAUAGGACAUCAUAGAGGGUGAGAAUCCCGUAUAUUGACCAUUGGAUUUGUCAGCUGUGUGAUACACUUUCAAAGAGUCGGAUUGUUUGGGAAUGCAGUCCCAAAAUGGGUAGGUAAAUUUCAUCUAAGGCUAAAUAUUGGCGAGAGACCGAUAGCGAACAAGUACCGUGAGGGAAAGAUGAAAAGAACUUUGAAAAGAGAGUUAAAUAGUACGUGAAAUUGUCAAAAGGGAAGCGUUUAACACCAGUGUUGUUUUCUGAAAAUCAACCUCUGUUAGCUUUAUGCAUGUUUGUUUAGACCUAAUCAGCUAUCUUGCAUGUUCUAUUGUUUGCAGUGGUGCACUUUUCAGUUUACAGGUCAACAUCAGUUUUUUUUACCGUAAAAAAGUUAAAGAAAGGUAGCUCAUGGCUCCGGUCGUGAGUGUUAUAGUCUUUUUCCUAUGCGGUAGGAGAGACUGAGGUCUGCAGUGUAGGCUAUUUGGCUAGAUACUCAGGUGCUAUGUGAUACCAUUUCAUAAACAACUUGUUGAUUAUGUUUUGUCUAUUGCAUACUCACUUGUACUAUCAUACCUACGCUUAGGAUGUUGAACUACUGAGACAUAGA
RNAcentral lists this ribosomal RNA (776 nucleotides) under uncultured Neocallimastigales. RNAcentral's name for it is "partial large subunit ribosomal RNA". It matches the Rfam family "Eukaryotic large subunit ribosomal RNA", at positions 22 to 644 of the family's 3401-position model. The record is from RNAcentral. Lineage: Eukaryota; Fungi; Neocallimastigomycota; Neocallimastigomycetes; Neocallimastigales.